GAGGAGGCUGUGAUGUUGAUAAACUACCUAUUUUCUGAAGGGAAUCUCCCUUCUGAUUAUAAAAAACCAAUGGAUCCUUCUGAGCCCUCCU
Molecule: small nucleolar RNA, 91 nt
Filed under: Nelumbo nucifera (sacred lotus)
Lineage: Eukaryota; Viridiplantae; Streptophyta; Magnoliopsida; Proteales; Nelumbonaceae
Source: RNAcentral